AACCAUGCAGAUCCACGGAAUCUAACAGAUGUCUCAGAAUUCCUCCUCCUGGAACUCUCAGAGGAUCCAGAACUGCAACCUGUCCUCGCUGGGCUGUUCCUGUCCAUGUACCUGGUCACCGUGCUGGGGAACCUCCUCAUCAUCCUGGCCAUCAGCUCUGACUCCCACCUCCACACCCCCAUGUACUUCUUCCUCUCCAACCUGUCCUUGGCUGACAUCGGUUUCACCUCCACCACCGUCCCCAAGGUGAUUGUGGACAUCCAAACUCACAGCAGAGUCAUCUCCUAUGUGGGCUGCCUGACUCAGAUGUCGCUUUUUGCCGUUUUUGGAGGCAUGGAAGACAUGCUCCUGAGUGUGAUGGCUUAUGACCGGUUUGUGGCCAUUUGUUACCCUCUGUAUUAUCCAGUCAUCAUGAACCCAUGUUUCUGUGGCUUCCUAGUUUUGUUGUCUUUUUUCUCAGUCUUUUAGACUCCCAGCUGCACAACUGGAUUGCCUUACAAAUUACCUGCUUCAAAGAUGUGGAAAUUCCCAAUUUCUUCUGUGACCCCUCUCAACUCCCCCACCUUGCCUGUUGUGACACUUUCACCAAUAACAUAGUCAUGCAUUUCCUUGCUGCCAUAUUUGGUUUUCUUCCCAUCUUGGGGAUCCUUUUCUCUUAUUAUAAAAUUGUUUCCUCCAUUCUGCGGGUUCCAUCAUCAGGUGGGAGGUAUAAAGCCUUCUCCACCUGUGGCUCUCACCUGUCAGUUGUUUGCUUAUUUUAUGGAACAGGCGUUGGAGGGUACCUCAGUUCAGACGUGUCCUCUUAUCCCAGAAAGGGUGCAGUGGCCUCAGUGAUGUACACGGUGGUCACCCCCAUGCUGAACCCCUUCAUCUACAGCCUGAGAAACAGGGACAUUCAAAGUGCCCUGCGGCGGCUGCAAGGCAGAAUACUCUAA
This is a non-coding RNA of Macaca mulatta (Rhesus monkey), 935 nucleotides long. NCBI's taxonomy places the organism in Eukaryota, Metazoa, Chordata, Mammalia, Primates, Cercopithecidae. The record is from RefSeq and is a predicted model, not a curated record.